Long non-coding RNA from Sus scrofa (pig), 4385 nucleotides. RefSeq lists it as uncharacterized. The record is from RefSeq and is a predicted model, not a curated record. Lineage: Eukaryota; Metazoa; Chordata; Mammalia; Artiodactyla; Suidae.
CUGAGUUUAGGAAGAGUAUUGUUCUCACUGCCCAUUCUCAGUGGGUUAAUGUGACUUGGAUUGAAUUCUCGCUAAUAAUUGCAAGAGAAAACGCGUGUGCUAAGCACGGUGUGUGGCACUUCUUAAAUGUUAACGUGUUUAUUAGUAUUAUAAACAAAGUCAUUAGUCGGAAACCAACAGUAAAAUUGACUCUACAAGGAAACUUUUCAAAAAACGUGUAAUAUAAAAAUGCACUGAAAUGCAUUUUCCACUUAUGCUUGGCAUUUUCUGUUCAGAAUUAAACAUAAAAUUCAAAGCAGUGGAGCUAAAGAAGACAUUUGAAUUAUUUCAUUGGUGCAAACUGACUAGAGAGCAGUGAAAACUUGAGCAAAAAGUGAUGGAUGGACAACAGCCACCCUAACCAGGUUGCAUUUCUAAAGUCAAAUGAGAUACACGAUAUUCUAGAAAACUAACUUUUUGUUGCUGUCAUUUUUGAACUUUUCUUUCCUCUAAAAUAACACAACGUCUGCUUUGUCAAUAAUGCAUGCUCAAAACAGAUGCAAGUGCACGAGGAGCAGUUAGGAGGAAUUUGGGGACUAUUAUAUCGCAGCAAAAAUGCUUUCCUGUGUCAUUGCUGUUGAGAUCCACUUGCUGGUGAAAUAAUAUUUUCCUCUAAUAUGGUGUAGAUUGCAGCAACAGUUCAGAUGUAACCAUUUAGGAGCAAAGGCCUAGCUCCGUAUGCCAGAAAAAAAAAAAAAAAAAAAAAAAAAACACGCACCACAAAGAGCAUUGAGAUGAAUGGCCCUAUUUUAUGAGCCAUAAAAGUUUUAUUCAUCUUGACACUGAAACAGGUUUAGGCAGUGAGUUGACACGCCUUAAAUAAAUAAGUGGAAUUAAUUCCCCAGCCCUUGAAACAAUAGCAGCAUGCAUGUAGCAUGGAGAAAUGCCCCAUUGUUUCCUGUGGCUGCCUGAUAUUGAUAUUAUUUGUGUUUUUCUGUGCUGCUGCCUCAGGGGCCUGGUUGAUCCACUUCAGAUUCAUCCCCUGUUUUAUUAGAGGUUGAAAAAGGUUCAAGACCUGUUUGUACCACAGCUCCCACCGACAGCUAAGGAACCAGUUUGGCGUCUGGUUUGUCUGUUGUUUUACUGCUGACCUUCAAAUCAACUUUAACCCCUGACCUCUGGAGGCAUCUAUCAUGACAAGAGGCUGUUUAACACAAAUGGUGCCCAUUUAUAGGGGAAGAGACUCAGAAGAUUUCCUUUUUAUGAAGAAUUUAGUUUUUCACCCCUCUUUUCUCAGGCACCACAGGUGAAAUCCCUCUUAGCAGCUGGCUUAUGAAAUAAUGGGAAGGGGGGCCUUAAUGAGCAGAAAGCAUCCUCAGCUGGAGAUAAAUAUAUGCAAAUGAGAUGCACAAACAAAGGAGCCUGGACAGAGAAAUAUCUGCAAUUCUAGCAAAAUGCUGCCUGCAGCUCGAAGAUGAACAGCUUUGAUAAAAUGCGAGAAAUAUUCCUCAUGUGGGCGGAGGACUCAGGCACACGGGACCUGCAACAAGCAACGAGGCUAAAAAAUAGUUAAAAUGAAUCAACAUUUAUCUGGAAUCUACAGUCUUGACCUAAAAAAAAAAAAUCAUUUAUCUUCCGUGUCCUGUGAUGUUUUGAGGAUUCUGGCAAAUAUGGCAGUUAAACAAACUUCUCUCAUAAUCUAAAUACUGUCUGUUCAAGAGAGGCUUCCAAUGUUUAUAGCCCAUAAGUAAAGAAAAAAAAAAAAAAAAAAACUGGUAUUUCACCAAGAACAGUGCUCUUGAAAAUGUCUCUGAACAAAGUGUUCAAGCAAAACUUUGACCGCAGAUAUUUUCAAUUCCUCAUUCUUCCUCUGAUUUUUUUUUUCAAUGAGGUAUUCUGAUAGUCUCUCCUUUCACUCCUUUUUCUUGAAAGUAAUGAAUGCAUUUCCAAAAAAUUAACGCCUGACUAGUGACCUGGUCAUACAAACUUCCUUGAGAAACAGUUGAGAAGAAAACAUCACAUUUUUAUGAACCCCGUCUCCUGCCAGGGGCCCCGGAGGAGGAACACCAUUAUGCAUUGUUAUCAGCGUGGUGUAAUUUGACUGUUGACAAAGUAUCCGUGGCAGUGAGAAUGAGCGCAGUUAGAAGUGUGGCGGAUUGUAAUCAAGAAGAUGCUUAGCUGUGCAACACUGCAUCUUGAGCAGAUUUGAAUCAACAUUGCCUUAAGGGGACACACACACAUACCAAAAGGAACAAAAAAAAAAAAAAUCCAUUAAUUUUUAGAGGGAAAAUUAGAGUGGCACUUGAUGAAGUGAAAUUUGACAUGCGUUAAUUGCUCUGCAGCUCCCCUAAUUAGAGAUUUUCAAAUUCUUUUACUGCUGUCACCAUGAUGGCACAGUGUCUUGCUGGACAAAUAGUGAAAUGGCAAAAUUCGUUUGAUUGGGAAGUUUUACGCAGCAAGAUUGGAUGGUAUCUUCCGAGUCUACUUUCAAAAGAUGGACAGCUGGAGAGCAAAGAGGCGUUAGCAGCUUUACCUCCAGCGCAGAGAAAAAACAGGCUUAUUAAAAUAGUUGCAUUAUGAGACUUAAUGUAAAGGAAGCAGGUGCUGAUGGGAUUUUCUUAAACAGAUGGAAAUGUUCCUUUGGUACUCAGGCUCUGUUUCCAAUGAAAUAUUUCAGGUGGAAAAAAAAAAAAAAAAAGCCAGCGAGAUGCUACAUUAUAUACGCAUUCUCCUAUUUCUACCUACAUUCUUCAGAAAGUGGGGAGAGGCAGAUUUUGAAAGGCUGUGUCAUGUUUUUCCCAAGUCUGAAGUCGCAGGCAAACAGUACUUUUGAUCUCCUUCUUAAUCUUAAUUAUACUGCCGCGUGGCCUCCAGCAUGGCACCAAAUAUGAUACCAUCAUAAUUUUGGUUUCCCUUUUCAACCCCUCUUGUCUAGCCCUUGAACCUCUCUUAAUUCAUUAACAUACUGAAUUUUUUCAAUUUUCCAUUUUCUUGCAAUAACAAUAUUAAUGCCGGGUGAAAGCUUGAUUGGACCUAAAUUACUUGUUACCUGCUGGCAUUUAUUUAUAUGGCAUUGAAUUAUAAAGCUUUGCUAUUGUCAUGCCUUGGGCGAAUUGUUUAUGACACCAGUAAUAGGAGUAAUUGUUAUUGUUGAAAUUACCUGUCAGCUACCCAUAGCAGUGGCCCUUGUCCCACUGACAAAUAGUGACAAGGGAGAGGUAUCCUCCAUGCGUCCCCCUGAUGGCUUCUCCUCUGAUAAUAAGAAGUGCAGGGCCUCUGAUAAUUUGCCUGUCACUGUUGAGUGCAGCUCAGAGAGAGUUGGCCAAAUUGUUGUCAUUCACUUUGACAAAGACAGCAAAAUGCCCCCGUGCAGAAGGAGGAUUAUCAAAAUAAAUGAAAUCGCUUACACCCCCUUUGUUUGUUUGGCCCAAGAAUUGCCUGGCUUUGUAUGAGGUUGUGAAAUUAGGGUCCAGUUCUUCUGGGUGUAGCGCUAUUCAUGCUAAAAUGAGGAUCCCAGGCAAAGAGUAGGCAUUUUAUGACUCACUGUUUUGCUGUUCACAUUGGUUAUUAAAAAAUUAUAGUCUGAUAUAAAGAGAGUCAAUAAAAGUGUAACAAGAAGUCUACACAUGUGCUUGAACGCCUUAGUUGAAAGCACAUGUAAAAUUCGCACCUUUUGCUCUCCUGCCUUCUUUUUAUUCCUCUUUUUUCCUUUUUGGACCCUUGCAGGCAUUCGAAUUCAAUAGGAGAACCGAAAAAUGCCCAAAGUUCCCAGUUGCCAUCAAGUUUUCUUUAAAAGUGGAAAUCUGCAUCUCUGACUCUUAAAGCCUUAAAAGAUUACACAGGCAAAUUUAGGAUUAUUAUUUCAAAUGGCUGUUUCCUCGCCAUAAAUUAUCUUUUAUUUAUAGAAUAUCUUCAUGUGUAAAGAGAGAAAUGAAACGUAGUUCCAGGUAUGAAGCAUCAAUUAUCACAGGCUAACAGAGGAAGCAAAAUGACUCUGUUAUUGCCAGAGCUCAAAUAUAAAUAUUUGCAUUUUAAAACCCCUUGGUUGCAGCCUGUGAACCUGUCAUAGAGGAGAGAAGGGGACGGGGGAGUGGGGGAUGGUGUCCGGGCGGCUCCACAUCUGAAAGAAAUGGACUUUAAAGUAAUCAAACCUCGGCUCUUGUAAAAACUAAAAUCAUUUUCACCAUUUCACAAAAGGCAUCAUUUCACGCUAGGCAAAUUCUUAUUUUUAAGGGGCCCCUGAGGUUACAGCUCAUAGGUCUUCUUGGCAAAUACUUGCCGUUAUAAGAAGUUGCAAAGAAAAGGAAAAAAAAAAUAACUAAGAUAAAUGUAAAAUAUUGGCUCCUUACAGGAUAGUAAUCAGCUCUUUAUUGGUCUCUACCAGACAAGGAAUGACCAAGCCGGGU